This 770-nucleotide ribosomal RNA is filed under the name Chaetothyriales sp. A1000. RNAcentral's name for it is "SSU rRNA". It matches the Rfam family "Eukaryotic small subunit ribosomal RNA", at positions 106 to 722 of the family's 1831-position model. Lineage: Eukaryota; Fungi; Ascomycota; Eurotiomycetes; Chaetothyriales. The record is from RNAcentral.
AAAGGUGCUUGGAGGCCUUUGGAGUGAUCCAAAGCCACUGUUGAAUGUGUGUAAUACUCCUUUUGCUCAUUAUUGUCACAACGGGCAUAGUUCACAGAAGAAUGUUAAAGGCGAUACGGGUUGUGUCAAUGGGUUACAGCAUGGGCAUUUCUCUGACAUCAAGUUUAACAACGGCAUGAAGUCUUGUAAUAAGAAGAGGGGUCAGUGUCCGGGUCACGGUGACAACGGACGGAAGUGCAUCUUUGUACGGGCGAACGGAAGCUUUAGGCCCUGCCUACAGGCUGGUGUUCAGUGCACGCACGUCCCUAAUUGCAACACGAAUUAGGCUAUAAAAUAGACAGUUCACCGCGGCCUCUCAGCAUUUCUCACCUACAAGUUUUGCUUUUAACGCUUUGAAUUUAUGCUAAUAUACUUUUUACAGGGUUCUAUUCCGGAGAGGGAGCCUGAGAAACGGCUACCACAUCCAAGGAAGGCAGCAGGCGCGCAAAUUACCCAAUCCCGACACGGGGAGGUAGUGACAAUAAAUACUGAUGGUGGGUUCUUUUGGAUCUACCAAUUGGAAUGAGUACAAUUUAAAUCCCUUAACGAGGAACAAUUGGAGGGCAAGUCUGGUGCCAGCAGCCGCGGUAAUUCCAGCUCCAAUAGCGUAUAUUAAAGUUGUUGCAGUUAAAAAGCUCGUAGUUGAACUUUGGGUCUGGCUGAUCUGUCCUCCUAAUCGAGCGCACGGAUUCGGUCGGACCUUUCCUUCUGGGGAACCCGAUGCCCUUCAC